GGUGGAAGGGCGCAUGUUUAGGAAGAAAAAUUUUAUUGGCCUCUGGAAGGAUUGGAAGGAACCCUUUGAUCGAAUGCUUCAGGUAUUGAUCCUACCACUAUGGACAAAAGUAAGUAGUCGGCUUGUCUUAUACCGGCUCCUUAUCAAAAUGAAAGGGCCUAUCCUUGCAAACUUGAAUCUAGUUGCAAGAGAACUAGAUUAACAACAAUUCAUCAGAGAGAGAGAGA
This 227-nucleotide long non-coding RNA is filed under the name Elaeis guineensis (African oil palm). RNAcentral's name for it is "long non-coding RNA (EGUI_LNC018600)". Lineage: Eukaryota; Viridiplantae; Streptophyta; Magnoliopsida; Arecales; Arecaceae. The record is from RNAcentral.